RNAcentral lists this ribosomal RNA (105 nucleotides) under Salmonella enterica subsp. enterica serovar Infantis. RNAcentral's name for it is "partial 23S ribosomal RNA". It matches the Rfam family "Bacterial large subunit ribosomal RNA", at positions 2821 to 2925 of the family's 2925-position model. The record is from RNAcentral. Lineage: Bacteria; Pseudomonadati; Pseudomonadota; Gammaproteobacteria; Enterobacterales; Enterobacteriaceae.
AGUCUCCUGAAGGAACGUUGAAGACGACGACGUUGAUAGGCCGGGUGUGUAAGCGCAGCGAUGCGUUGAGCUAACCGGUACUAAUGAACCGUGAGGCCUAACCUU